GCCCUCACCAGGGACCCCCGAGUGCAUCUCUCUCCUCUCCAGGCCUCUGUUUCUCCAUCUGUGCAACCACAGUGUUGGACAUGGUAGUCCCAAGUGUCUGCUCGUAACUUUGCCCUCUCUGUGCCCCCAGGUCAGGGCUGCGAUAAGACCCGGUCACGGGUGACCCUGCAGGAGUGGAAUGAUCCUCUUGACCAUGACCUUUGAGGCCCAGCUCAUCUACCGGCACCUGCUGGACGUGGAGGCCAUGCUGUGGAUCAGCAUUAACAAGGACUUCAAGGUACCCAAUGCCUGUUUAUUCACCAUCAACAAAGAAGACCACACACUGGGAAACAUCAUUAAAUCACAACUCCUUAAGGACCCG
Molecule: long non-coding RNA, 361 nt
Filed under: Pan troglodytes (chimpanzee)
Lineage: Eukaryota; Metazoa; Chordata; Mammalia; Primates; Hominidae
Description: long non-coding RNA NONPTRT016121
Source: RNAcentral